CCUACGGGAGGCAGCAGUGAGGAAUAUUGGUCAAUGGACGAGAGCCUGAACCAGCCAAGUAGCGUGAAGGAUGACUGCCCUAUGGGUUGUAAACUUCUUUUAUAUGGGAAUAAAAUGUUCCACGUGUGGGAUUUUGUAUGUACCAUAUGAAUAAGGAUCGGCUAACUCCGUGCCAGCAGCCGCGGUAAUACGUAGGAUCCGAGCGUUAUCCGGAUUUAUUGGGUUUAAAGGGAGCGUAGGUGGAUUGUUAAGUCAGUUGUGAAAGUUUGCGGCUCAACCGUAAAAUUGCAGUUGAAACUGGCAGUCUUGAGUACAGUAGAGGUGGGCGGAAUUCGUGGUGUAGCGGUGAAAUGCUUAGAUAUCACGAAGAACUCCGAUUGCGAAGGCAGCUCACUGGACUGCAACUGACACUGAGGCUCGAAAGUGUGGGUAUCAAACAGGAUUAGAUACCCUUGUAGUC
Molecule: ribosomal RNA, 460 nt
Filed under: uncultured bacterium
Lineage: Bacteria
Description: partial 16S ribosomal RNA
Rfam family: Bacterial small subunit ribosomal RNA
Source: RNAcentral